UACGGAGGAUCCGAGCGUUAUCCGGAUUUAUUGGGUUUAAAGGGUGCGUAGGUGGUCUUUUAAGUCAGUGGUGAAAGUUUGCGGCUUAACCGUAAAAUUGCCAUUGAAACUGAAGGACUUGAGUACAAAUGAGGUAGGCGGAAUGUGUUGUGUAGCGGUGAAAUGCAUAGAUAUAACACAGAACACCAAUUGCGAAGGCAGCUUACUGGGAUGUAACUGACACUGAGGCACGAAAGCGUGGGGAUCAAACAGG
RNAcentral lists this ribosomal RNA (253 nucleotides) under uncultured bacterium. RNAcentral describes it as "partial 16S ribosomal RNA". It matches the Rfam family "Bacterial small subunit ribosomal RNA", at positions 524 to 776 of the family's 1533-position model. The record is from RNAcentral.